GAUGAACGCUGGCGGCGUGCCUAAUACAUGCAAGUCGAGCGAACGGACGAGAAGCUUGCUUCUCUGAUGUUAGCGGCGGACGGGUGAGUAACACGUGGAUAACCUACCUAUAAGACUGGGAUAACUUCGGGAAACCGGAGCUAAUACCGGAUAAUAUUUUGAACCGCAUGGUUCAAAAGUGAAAGACGGUCUUGCUGUCACUUAUAGAUGGAUCCGCGCUGCAUUAGCUAGUUAGUAAGGUAACGGCUUACCAAGGCAUCGAUGCAUAGCCGACCUGAGAGGGUGAUCGGCCACACUGGAACUGAGACACGGUCCAGACUCCUACGGGAGGCAGCAGUAGGGAAUCUUCCGCAAUGGGCGAAAGCCUGACGGAGCAACGCCGCGUGAGUGAUGAAGGUCUUCGGAUCGUAAAACUCUGUUAUUAGGGAAGAACAUAUGUGUGAGUAACUGUGCACAUUUUGACGGUACCUAAUCAGAAAGCCACGGCUAACUACGUG
This 497-nucleotide ribosomal RNA is filed under the name uncultured bacterium. RNAcentral describes it as "partial 16S ribosomal RNA". It matches the Rfam family "Bacterial small subunit ribosomal RNA", at positions 28 to 507 of the family's 1533-position model. The record is from RNAcentral.